GCCCAGACUCCUACGGGAGGCAGCAGUGAGGAAUAUUGGUCAAUGGUCGGGAGACUGAACCAGCCAAGCCGCGUGAGGGAUGAAGGUACAGAGUAUCGUAAACCUCUUUUGUCAGGGAACAAAGGCGGGGACGUGUCCCCGGAUGAGUGUACCUGAAGAAAAAGCAUCGGCUAACUCCGUGCCAGCAGCCGCGGUAAUACGGAGGAUCCGAGCGUUAUCCGGAUUUAUUGGGUUUAAAGGGAGCGUAGGUGGAUUGUUAAGUCAGUUGUGAAAGUUUGCGGCUCAACCGUAAAAUUGCAGUUGAAACUGGCAGUCUUGAGUACAGUAGAGGUGGGCGGAAUUCGUGGUGUAGCGGCGAAAUGCAUAGAUAUCGCGCAGAACUCCGAUUGCGAAGGCAGCAUGCCGGCUCCACACUGACGCUGAGGCACGAAAGCGUGGGUAUCGAACAGGAUUAGAUACCCGAGUACU
RNAcentral lists this ribosomal RNA (468 nucleotides) under uncultured bacterium. RNAcentral's name for it is "bacterial SSU rRNA". It matches the Rfam family "Bacterial small subunit ribosomal RNA", at positions 329 to 794 of the family's 1533-position model. The record is from RNAcentral.